This 442-nucleotide ribosomal RNA is filed under the name uncultured bacterium. RNAcentral describes it as "partial 16S ribosomal RNA". It matches the Rfam family "Bacterial small subunit ribosomal RNA", at positions 338 to 795 of the family's 1533-position model. The record is from RNAcentral.
CCUACGGGUGGCAGCAGUGGGGGAUAUUGCACAAUGGGGGGAACCCUGAUCCAGCGACGCCGCGUGAGUGAAGAAGUAUUUCGGUAUGUAAAGCUCUGUCAGCAGGGAAGAAAGAAAUGACGGUACAUGACCAAGAAGCCCCGGCAAACUACGUGCCAGCAGCCGCGGUAAUACGGAGGAUGCGAGCGUUAUCCGGAUUUAUUGGGUUAAAAGGGGGCGCAGGCGGAUUUUAAAGUCAGCGGGAAAAUCGUGGGGCUCAACACCAUACUGCCGUUGAAACUGGGGAUCUAGAGUGUGCGAGAGGUAAGCGGAAUGCGUAGUGUAGCGGUGAAAUGCGUAGAUAUCACGCAGAACCCCAGUUGCGAAGGCAGCAUACCGGUGCACAACUGACGCUCAGGCACGAAAGCGUGGGUAUCGAACAGGAUUAGAUACCCCAGUAGUC